AGUGAACGCUGGCGGUAGGCCUAACACAUGCAAGUCGAACGGCAGCACAGUAAGAGCUUGCUCUUACGGGUGGCGAGUGGCGGACGGGUGAGGAAUACAUCGGAAUCUACUUUUUCGUGGGGGAUAACGUAGGGAAACUUACGCUAAUACCGCAUACGACCUACGGGUGAAAGCAGGGGAUCUUCGGACCUUGCGCGAUUGAAUGAGCCGAUGUCGGAUUAGCUAGUUGGCGGGGUAAAGGCCCACCAAGGCGACGAUCCGUAGCUGGUCUGAGAGGAUGAUCAGCCACACUGGAACUGAGACACGGUCCAGACUCCUACGGGAGGCAGCAGUGGGGAAUAUUGGACAAUGGGCGCAAGCCUGAUCCAGCUAUACCGCGUGGGUGAAGAAGGCCUUCGGGUUGUAAAGCCCUUUUGUUGGGAAAGAAAAGCAGCAGGUUAAUACCCCGCUGUUCCGACGGUACCCAAAGAAUAAGCACCGGCUAACUUCGUG
This 492-nucleotide ribosomal RNA is filed under the name uncultured bacterium. Its description in RNAcentral is "partial 16S ribosomal RNA". It matches the Rfam family "Bacterial small subunit ribosomal RNA", at positions 29 to 507 of the family's 1533-position model. The record is from RNAcentral.